AAAAGAACGAGAAAGAGAGUGAGGGAGGAAGCCUGACUGCUGCUGGCCUCCGACAGCUACUGGUCCACUCAGGACGGAACCCAGCAGGACCCCGAAGCAUCUUUCUGGGACAGACCCCUCCCUCCCGUAUACUCUGUUGUAGCUCCUCUCUGAGGCUUGCACUACCCAGAUAAAAUGUCAACACCUUCAAUUUCCCCUGGGAUUCUCUAAGGCUCAUAUGGGCAAAAUUGGAAAAGGAGAUGUGUACAAAUAUGUUAUAAAUUCCACGUGAGAAGCCAGAAAGACAAAGGCAAAUACCAUAUGAUGUCACUUAUAACUGGAAUCUAAUAUCCAGCACAAAUGAACAUCUCCACAGAAAAGAAAAUCAUGGACUUGGAAAACAGACUUGUGGCUGCCUGGGGGGAGAGGGAGGGAGUGGGAGGGAUCGGGAGCUUGGGGUUAUCAGACACAACUUGGAAUAGAUUUACAAGGAGAUCCUGCUGAAUAGCAUUGAGAAUUACGUCUAGAUACUCAUGUUGCAACAGAACAAAGGGUGGGGAAAAAAAAUGUAAUGUAUACAUGUAAGGAUAACUUGAUCCCCUUGCUGUACAGUGGGGGAAAAAAAAAUGCCACGUGAGAGAUACAAAUUGAGUACUAGGCCACUUUUAGUAGUAGGAAUUUGAGGAAAUGCUCUAAAAAAAGAGAUUGCCUAAAUCGGACCUUACAACAUAAGUGUGAUUUUGGACGAUGGAAUAUAAGGGAUUCCAUUGACCUGAAGUCUCAUCAAAAUUAGAAAUUUGUAUUCAGCUGCAUAAGAAAACCAAAAUAGCAUCUUCUUAACUAAAUAGGUAUAUACAAUUCCUAUUAAGUGUGCAAGUGGUCAGCACUCAAUAAACACUAGCUAUCACUGUUUUAGAUUGGUUGAAUUUUAUGAAGUUCUGGGUGCUGAUAAAGUCACUGAGCAAAAAAAAAUGGAUGCGUCAACUUGCUUUUGUAGAGGAGAAGGUGAUCGCAAAUCAUGGUGUGGGGUCCCCCGCUCUGCUGUGACAUCCCAUCCUCCCGAGGACAGCUGAGGUUGACAGAAGACAGAACAGGGUCAUUACACAAAACUGGAACAUUCUUGGUUGGUAUUUGUCAGAUGGACAGAACUUCCCACUGCCCUAAGACUGGAACAGAGGCAUGCAGGCUUCACCAGAACAAAGCUUGAAGAUAAGAAACUACCAAUGGAGUUCCCAUUGUGGAUCAGGGGGUUAAGAACCUGACUAGUAUCCACGAGGGUGGGGGUUCAAUCCCUGGCCUUGCCCAGUAGGUUAAGGAUCCAGGGUUGCCCUGAGCUGUGGUGUGGGUCACAGACGCAUCUCAGAUCUGGUGUUGCUAUAGCUGUGGUGUAGACCAGCAGCUGUGGCUCCCAUUCAACCCCUAGCCUGGGAACUUCCGUAUGCCAUGGGUGCAGUCCUAGGGAAAAAAAAAAAAAA
RNAcentral lists this long non-coding RNA (1454 nucleotides) under Sus scrofa (pig). RNAcentral's name for it is "lncRNA (ENSSSCG00065049346.1)". Lineage: Eukaryota; Metazoa; Chordata; Mammalia; Artiodactyla; Suidae. The record is from RNAcentral.